RNAcentral lists this non-coding RNA (28 nucleotides) under Rattus norvegicus (Norway rat). The record is from RNAcentral. Lineage: Eukaryota; Metazoa; Chordata; Mammalia; Rodentia; Muridae.
UGUUAGUCACGUGAUAAUCUUCUCCAAC